RNAcentral lists this ribosomal RNA (253 nucleotides) under uncultured bacterium. RNAcentral's name for it is "partial 16S ribosomal RNA". It matches the Rfam family "Bacterial small subunit ribosomal RNA", at positions 524 to 776 of the family's 1533-position model. The record is from RNAcentral.
UACAGAGACUGCAAGCGUUAUUCGGAUUUACUGGGCUUAAAGAGUUCGUAGGCGGUUCGGUAAGUGAGGUGUGAAAGCCCUCGGCUCAACCGAGGAAUUGCGCUUCAAACUGCCGGGCUCGAGGGAGAUAGAGGUGAGCGGAACUGAUGGUGGAGCGGUGAAAUGCGUUGAUAUCAUCAGGAACACCAGAGGCGAAGGCGGCUCACUGGGUCUCUUCUGACGCUGAGGAACGAAAGCUAGGGGAGCAAACGGG